Molecule: long non-coding RNA, 1533 nt
Organism: Leopardus geoffroyi (Geoffroy's cat)
Lineage: Eukaryota; Metazoa; Chordata; Mammalia; Carnivora; Felidae
Exons: 3
Source: RefSeq, a predicted model, not a curated record
UGUGGAGGCCGAGGCAGACUUCCCACCAACACCUGGCGAGCGGGAGCCUUGGACGAAGAGUUUAAGGAGGCUCUCGGAGUGUGGAGGUGCAAGGUCCACCCCUGAAAGCGCGUGUCUCCUUAAAUUUUGUGCUGUUUCUCCUGCUAGUCCCGCCCCAGUCCCAGCCUGAGUCCUGACCACUGCGGGUGCAACUUCUGAAUUACCUGGCUCCUCCACAGCUUUUGGGGUUGCCCGCCCGUGUAGAAGCCCACCUCCCCUGAGCAAGGUGAAUCUCCUCUCACUUGAAGAUCAGAAAUUGAGAUCUUUCCUGUUCAAUUAAGGAUACGUUUCCAGUAAGUGCAGACAUGGAAGAAAAUAGCAGACAAACAGUGGCUAAGAUGGCAGACUCUGCAUUUGAUCUCCUUAAAGUGCAGAUCCGACUCUAGAGAGCUAUGCUGGGCCUGGGACUUUGCACUUGUAACUAGUCACCAGAUGAUGCUACUGUCCUUGGUUAGGAACCACAGGAGUUACUUAGCUCCUGUAAAGAGGAGACCUCGAACUCAGGUCUGGCCGCACAAUUUGCAGGUUCCAAUACAGAAUGAAAAGGAACACAGUCCAAAUCAUUGGAUCACACACCUGUUGGACUUUUGGGAUGUAUGUCCUGAGCUCCUUGGUCGAGCCCUGCAAGUGGUGACUGUCAAUGAGAUCAUCUGGAAGGCCUGAAGGCUGGACCCAUGGCCUGUCUGCUACCCAUACACGUAUGCAUGUGCAGACACACACACACACACACACACACACACACACACACACACACACACAUAUAUGUGCACUCAUGUGUGCCAGACUCCCAUUGAUUCUCUAACUGCCAGUUUGUCCCAAUCAGUGUCUUGGUCCAGGAGUGAGAUGACAAGUAAAAUAAACAUACCUCCUCUUUACAAGUGGCUCCUUUCUCUAAGUUCCUGUUGUCCAAUAGAACUUUCUUUGCUGAUGGAAAUGUUCUAUAUCUGCUCUGUCCGACACCACGAAAGGCUAUUGAGCCACUUAAAAUGAGACUAGUGUAGAGAACUGAAGUUUAAAUUUUAUUUCAUUUUAAUUAGAAUUUAUACAGCCACCUGUGACCAGUGGCUAGCAAAUCAGACAAUGCAGAUCUAGGGAUCGUCAUGUUUUCCAAUAAAAACUCAGGACCCAGGGCCUGAUAGGUGGGAGUAGAUGUAUAGGGCAAUCUAUUUGGAAUUGGGACUGGACUGUUAAUCUCUAUGCUACAUCUGUGCUUGAGCUCAGAUUUAAAACCUCAUCUUUGUCCCCCUUUUAUACAUUUUUAUUUCUAAUCCUCCCAGCAACUCUGUAAAGAAGAUCAUCUUUAUUUUUGCAGAUGAGGCAACUGAGGCCCAGAGAGCUAAGUGACAGCCUGAGCUCACGCAGCACACUGGGGAUCAGCCUCAUCCCCAGAACUGUGUGGCUCCUGCUCUGGUUCCAAAGCGAGGCUCCUCCCACUGCCUCUCUUUAGGCGCUUUGAAGUCCAUUCAUCAGAGGGUGGCCCAGCCCUCCCACAAA